UUCAUAUCCGUAAAAAGCAAGAAAGCUCACAAGCAAGCUCCUCCAAUGGCGGAUUCAAACUCUUCUCUCCUUCCUCUUAGCGAAAAUAUCUCACACAAAAGCUAUGUUUUGAGAAUUGUGGAUCUCACGAUUCUCGGCCUUCUCUUUUCUCUUCUCUUAUACCGAAUCUUACAUAUGAGCCAAAAUGAUAAUGUUUGGCUUGUGGCUUUUCUCUGUGAAUCUAUUUUCUCAUUCAUAUGGCUGAUUAUUACCUGCAUAAAAUGGAGUCCUGCUGAAGAUAAACCCUAUCCAAAUAGACUUGAUGAAAGGGUUCAUGACCUUCCUGCAGUAGAUAUGUUCGUUCCCACGGCAGAUCCCGUUAGGGAGCCGCCAAUUAUUGUUGUGAACACUGUGCUUUCGCUGUUAGCUCUGAAUUAUCCAGCGAAUAAACUAGCGUGUUAUGUAUCAGACGAUGGAUGUUCACCUCACACUUUCUUCUCACUUAGAGAAGCUUCAAAGUUCGCCAAGAUUUGGGUUCCCUUCUGCAAGAAAUACAACGUUAGAGUUAGAGCUCCUUUUAGAUAUUUUUUAAACCUUUGGUCGUAACAGAUGAUUCGGUAUUCAUUAAAGACUGGGAAAUGACGAAGAUGAUGAUUUUGAGGCUUUCUCAAACACAAAACCAAAUGAUCAUUCAACUCUAGUUAAGGUGAUAUGGGAGAACAAGGCAGGCGUGGGAGACGAGAAAGAAGUCCCUCAUCUUGUAUACAUUUCAAGAGAGAAACGACCAAAUUGCCUUCAUCAUUACAAAACUGGAGCCAUGAACUUUCUGUUAAGAGUGUCAGGGUUGAUGACAAAUGCACCAUACAUGUUGAACGUAGACUGUGACAUGUAUGCCAAUGAAGCAGAUGUGGUGCGACAAGCAAUGUGUGUAUUUUUACAAAACGCAAAGAAUUCAAACCAUUGUGCUUUUGUUCAAUUCCCUCAAGAGUUCUAUGAUUCUUACGCCAACGAAUUCUCCGUCCUACAGUCGGUGCAAUCUCUCCCCUUCUUUUACAUUUUUUACUUGAACUUUUGAUCACUUCAAUGUCAUCUAUAGACCGAUGUUUACUCUUUGUUUAUACGUUAAAAUUAAGUAUUUGGGAAGAGGAGUUGCGGGAAUCCAAGGACCGAUAUAUUGUGGCUCUGGAUGCUUCCAUAUUAGAAGAGUUAUUGUUGAUGUACGAAACCGACAAUAUUAAUAAUACGAAUCUUAA
Non-coding RNA from Camelina sativa (false flax), 1232 nucleotides. The record is from RefSeq and is a predicted model, not a curated record. NCBI's taxonomy places the organism in Eukaryota, Viridiplantae, Streptophyta, Magnoliopsida, Brassicales, Brassicaceae.